CCUACGGGGGGCAGCAGUGAGGAAUAUUGGUCAAUGGGCGCGAGCCUGAACCAGCCAAGUAGCGUGAAGGAUGACUGCCCUACGGGUUGUAAACUUCUUUUAUAAAGGAAUAAAGUGAGGCACGUGUGCCUUUUUGUAUGUACUUUAUGAAUAAGGAUCGGCUAACUCCGUGCCAGCAGCCGCGGUAAUACGGAGGAUCCGAGCGUUAUCCGGAUUUAUUGGGUUUAAAGGGAGCGUAGAUGGGUUGUUAAGUCAGUUGUGAAAGUUUGCGGCUCAACCGUAAAAUUGCAAUUGAAACUGGGAGGCUUGAGUAUGUUUGAGGCAGGCGGAAUGCGUGGUGUAGCGGUGAAAUGCUUAGAUAUCACGCAGAACCCCGAUUGCGAAGGCAGCCUGCCAAGCCAUGACUGACGCUGAUGCACGAAAGCGUGGGGAUCAAACAGGAUUAGAUACCCUUGUAGUC
Molecule: ribosomal RNA, 460 nt
Filed under: uncultured bacterium
Lineage: Bacteria
Description: partial 16S ribosomal RNA
Rfam family: Bacterial small subunit ribosomal RNA
Source: RNAcentral